RNAcentral lists this ribosomal RNA (477 nucleotides) under Candidatus Scalindua marina (nom. nud.). Its description in RNAcentral is "bacterial SSU rRNA". It matches the Rfam family "Bacterial small subunit ribosomal RNA", at positions 365 to 832 of the family's 1533-position model. The record is from RNAcentral. Lineage: Bacteria; Pseudomonadati; Planctomycetota; Candidatus Brocadiia; Candidatus Brocadiales; Candidatus Scalinduaceae.
UUCGCAAUGCCCGAAAGGGUGACGAAGCGACGCCGCGUGGGUGAGGAAGGCCUUCGGGUUGUAAAGCCCUGUCAGGAGUUAAGAAAUAUAAGUGUGUUAAUACCGCAUUUAUUUGACGAAGGCUCCAAAGGAAGCCACGGCUAACUCUGUGCCAGCAGCCGCGGUAAUACAGAGGUGGCAAGCGUUGUUCGGUAUUAUUGGGCGUAAAGAGCACGUAGGUGGUUUUGUAAGUCAGAUGUGAAAGCCUUCUGUUCAAAGGAAGAACGGCAUCUGAAACUGCGAAUCUUGAGUGUAGGAGGGGAGAGUGGAACUUCUGGUGGAGCGGUGAAAUACGUAGAUAUCAGAAGGAACGUCGGCGGCGAAAGCGGCUCUCUGGCCUAUUACUGACACUGAGUGUGCGAAAGUUAGGGGAGCAAACGGGAUUAGAUACCCCGGUAGUCCUAACUGUAAACGAUGGGCACUAAGUAGAGGGGUUUU